This is a non-coding RNA of 329 nucleotides. It matches the Rfam family "cspA thermoregulator", at positions 98 to 428 of the family's 428-position model.
UGCAGUUUUUUAAUGUAAACGUAUUAAAUUAGUGAAUGGUGAAUUUUAAAUUAUGUACGAUGAGGUACAUUAGGAGGCAAUUUUUUAUGCAAAACGGUAAAGUAAAAUGGUUCAACGCUGAAAAAGGUUUCGGUUUCAUCGAAGUUGAAGGUGGAGACGACGUAUUCGUACACUUCUCUGCAAUCAACGGCGAAGGUUUCAAAACACUUGACGAAGGCCAAGAAGUUAACUUCGAAAUCGUAGAAGGUAACCGCGGACCACAAGCAGCUAACGUAACAAAAGCAUAAAUGGCUUAAUAAGCCCCUGACGAUUCGUCGUCAGGGGCUUAU